RNAcentral lists this unclassified non-coding RNA (150 nucleotides) under uncultured Gliocladiopsis. Its description in RNAcentral is "sequence contains ITS1". The record is from RNAcentral. Lineage: Eukaryota; Fungi; Ascomycota; Sordariomycetes; Hypocreales; Nectriaceae.
CCGAGUUUACAACUCCCAAACCCCUGUGAACUAUACCAUGUCGUUGCCUCGGCGGCGCUUACCUCCCCCAGCCCGGGGGGGGGCCCGCCAGAGGACCCAAACUCUUGUUUUUGAAUCUAGUCUUCUCUGAGUGAAACAAGCAAUAAAUUA